This is a long non-coding RNA of Centropristis striata (black sea bass), 328 nucleotides long. RefSeq lists it as uncharacterized. Lineage: Eukaryota; Metazoa; Chordata; Actinopteri; Perciformes; Serranidae. The record is from RefSeq and is a predicted model, not a curated record. The transcript has 3 exons.
CAGCCUCUCUUCCUUGUUGCGGUGAUGGAGGUCGGACGUGUUGUGGUGGAGGGACAACUUCCAUGAAGCUUCACUCUCCACAGAAGGAUAUGGAAGCCUGGCCUGGAUUUUUCUUGAUAAGGUAAUGGGAACACUGCACUGACAGUCCACUGCUGCAUCACCUUGGUUUGGUAUUUUGAGAAAAAAAGUUUGUGUACCUUUUUAAUGUUGUAGAGCAAUUAAUAUGAUUUGCUGCCUAAAAAUGUUUACCUUUACUUCAAAUGGUCUUGUGACAUUAAAUGUAUGAACUGUAAAAUCCACUGAAUAAAGCUGAAUGUAUUAAACUGUA